Molecule: long non-coding RNA, 1438 nt
Organism: Tetranychus urticae (two-spotted spider mite)
Lineage: Eukaryota; Metazoa; Arthropoda; Arachnida; Trombidiformes; Tetranychidae
Source: RefSeq, a predicted model, not a curated record
ACUGUUUCGUGUGUGAAAGCUGUUGAUUAAAAAUGAAAAAUCAGGUUUGAUUUGUCUUAUUUUGUCAGUCAUUUUGUUCGUUUCUAAUGAUCAGUGAUCACCUUAAUUAGACUAAACUAAUAACCUUAAUCAAUGUAACUGGAACUGAUAAACAUUCAAUCUGUGCCAAACAAUCAUAAGAGUCAUCUUUAGGUUAAUCAAACAACAUGAAGUGCUAUUUAACUUUCCAUUUUACUCUUCCUUUCAAUGAUUAAUUCAUGUUGGAUUUUUCCUUGAUUAUAUAAUGGCCAUUGCUUUACACUUGAUUUGGCUUGGUAUCAACUAUACAUGGGUAAGUAAUCAAUAUCAGUAUUGAUUAUGGUAACUCGGAUUGUUGAGCAAUGGUUACAGGAUACACUUUGUUUCUAUGGUCAAGAUUUCUUCAACAAUUGGACUACCAUCAAAGGCUAACUUGUGAAACUUGAGUUUUUAUUCAAAAAUGAAACUCGUAAUCCGCUGACUAUCGUGAAUGGGAAUAAUCUUGGUUUUUGGUUCAGAUCUUUUCACUUUUUCUAGACCAUGAUAUUAAUACAUUCACAUUGGACAGUGAUUGUUAUAUGGAGCUAAAACAAGAAUAUUUGAUUAUGGAUUACAUGGUUUAGUUUACUAUCGAAGAACUACUUGGUUAGUUGAAACAAAAGACUUACCUUUAUGAGAGAGAUGAAGAUGAUUAGAUUGUUUUAAUCCAUUGAAAUCACUUUAAAGAUUUAAACAAUGAACAGAUCAAAAUACAAAGCAUGAAAAUUGGCGAAACUGUUCAGUGAUCAAACAACUUUCCAACAAUUAAUUAACAAUUACUUUAGUCAAUUUACUUAAUUGCUUUGUGACCUCAGUUACAAUUUGGAUAAUACACAAAUGUACAAGACCAACAAAGGCUCUGCGGACAAAUCUAUGAGGCUAUGAGAAACGAUGGAAUUGAUUCAAUCCCUAAACUGAUGGCUCGAAGACAAACCAAACACGAUUAACCUACUUUACAUUUCCAGUUUCGUCUACAUUUUCGUCGCCUUUUUCCUAAUCAUCUAUCUUCCGCCCUCCAAUGUUACAACCGAUACAUUUAUUUGCCUCAAAUAAUCAGUAGCGUAACUUUCCCGACCUAACUUGAGAUUUAAUUGAUUUACAGACUCGCUUAGUUUUUUUAUUCAUCAAUUUUUCGGUCAUAAUCAACAUAAAUCUUGAUAUAAUUGAUUUACAAUAGAUUAGCUUUUAAUUUUUAAAUUUCAGAGAUUUCAAAAUCUUUUUCCGAUUCCUAAUCAAACUUAAAUGAAUCAACUUGGAAAAACUUGAUCAGUUUCCUUUAUAAAAUUCCGUCAAAAGAUGGAGUCAUUAGUCAUUAUUGAGAAAGAUUUUGUAAUGAAGUGAAAGAUUAAUUGUUGUGAUUAAACAGCUGUACAUAUUGAAA